This is a long non-coding RNA of Leucoraja erinaceus (little skate), 1788 nucleotides long. RefSeq lists it as uncharacterized. The transcript has 4 exons. NCBI's taxonomy places the organism in Eukaryota, Metazoa, Chordata, Chondrichthyes, Rajiformes, Rajidae. The record is from RefSeq and is a predicted model, not a curated record.
CCGCCAACCCCCGCGGCGGGAUUCAUCCAGCAUCCCGGCAGCCCGUGCAGCUUUAUUGAGGGACCUUAUAGCUAUAAGAUCUUUGAUUUACUUCACGUUGCAGGUUAUAGAUUUAUUUAUUCGCAUUAUUCGCUCUGCAUUUGAGCUGAGUCGCUGCCCUUUGCUAUUUUCAUUGACAAUAAGAAAGUUUCUACUGCAGGAGUGCGAUCUAGAGUUGUCCCUGUCCUUCCCAAUGGAUCACUGUGAAAUAUGGCCACCGGUUCCCUACAGUCAAACAUCUUAAGAGUUAUCGGGAAGAUUUCUGCAUCACUAUAAGAAAAACCUGGCACAGUGAAGGGAAGACAAGAUGGUUCACACUCUUGCUCUGGAUGAGGGACUCCACCCUACCACAGGAAUUUCUUCUGGCAUGAACAAUGUAAGCCAAACAUUGCUUAAGAGUCAGUUACAAGAUAAUAUGAUGCUGCCUGACCUGUUGAGUAAUAUCGAACUUAGCUGUUAUGAUCCCUUCCCUCAAACCUACCAACAUUUCCUGCCUAGCCUUGUGCAUGAAAAUUAACACUUAAAAUAGAUCCUGGCAGACUUCCUGCAAUUGGGGGAAAAAGUGAAGUACUGCAAGUCGAACAAUGAGAAUCCAUUUUGUUAUAAAAAUGUGCAUUGCAUGUCUUUUUUUUGGUGAGUAGCAGUCAGCAUCAAAUUUAGCCCUUAAGUGGAGAGUUUGGGAUCAACAAGAUACAAAAGGAGAAAAAUAGAACAUUUCCAUAAGCCAGACUGUGCGAGAAGCAAAAUAAGAAUCAAGAAAACAAUCAAAUGAAAGUGACAUUUUGGAAUCUGAAGCUAUUUUGGAAAUGUUUUCAACACCAAAUAUUUCAAACAAGAACAAGUGGGAGAAUAGGGGAAUUUUGUCACUGCACAGAAAGAAGAUCAUCAUAUUUCGCAUGAUGAAACUGAAAUGUCCAUGAAAUCUGGGAUACUUAGUAUCUCAUUUGUAAUAAAACAAAGUCAUAUCACAUCAUAGUUGACUCGCUUUUUCCCAGUGACAUUGGAAUUCUUUACCGCCUCAUUACCCAUUCCUCCUUGCAAUCCACUGAGUUUACAAAACUUAAAUGAUAAUUUAAAUUGUUUUCUGCUUUGCUUUGCUAACAACAAUUUGCAUGUUCAUUGAUAAAUUUCUGUUAAGACAUUUUAACACCACACUGGUAGAGCUACUGGCUCACAUCGUCAGAGACUCAGGUUCGAUCCUGGCCUUGGGUGUUGUCGGUGUGAAUUUUACAUGUUCUCCCUAUGACUGCGUGUGUUUCCCCUGGCUGCUCCGGUUUCCACCCAGAUCCCAAAGACGUGCGGAAACGUGAGACAUGGGAAAGUGGGAAAACAUAGAACUAAAGUGAAGGGCAUGGACUCGGUGGGCGAAAGAGCCUGUUUCAAUGCUGUAUCUCUGAGUACCAAGUAAGUAAUUGAGUUUUUUGAGGAGAUGAUUAUUGAGGGUAGAUAGUGGAUAUAUAUGUAUAUAUUUAUGAAUUGGAUGUAAAUGUACAUGGGUUGGUUAGUAAUGUACAGGAAGAAACUGCAGAUGCAUGCAAACAGUUCAUUUAGACCUUAGGAUCUAAAUGCAGUCAUGAAUGGCUGGAAAAGUAACAUCUGGAUUAGCAGAAAACAAUUCAAAGAUAAGAGGGAUGGAGAAGGUAGUAAAUAAGGAAAUAUAGCUCUUGGAGGGAAAAUAAUCUUACAUCUGAAUUACAAUUGGAGCAGGGCAAUGUAAAUAAGCGAGUUCAGUGGGAAGGGUGAGUAUGG